Molecule: long non-coding RNA, 1562 nt
Organism: Chloebia gouldiae (Gouldian finch)
Lineage: Eukaryota; Metazoa; Chordata; Aves; Passeriformes; Passeridae
Source: Ensembl
CGGCACGGCACGGCACGGCCCGGCACCGGGCAGGGUGUCGGGAGCCACGGCGGGGCCUCGGGUCAGGCCCCGCUGCUCCUGCAGGGUCAUCCUAGACCGCAUGGCACAGGACUGCAUCCAGAUGGUUCCUGAGUAUACUCAGGGACGGAGACAGCAGCCUCUGGACAGUCUGUUCCAGUGCCUGCUCGCUGGCAAUGCUGUUCUUCCUGCUGAGAGCGCUUGCUUUCUUGGGACAUCCUCACCACAGCCCCUCACGGCCUCCCCAGGGCAGGAACAGACCCUGGACAGGGAGAAGGCUCUGGGUUCUGCAGCGCUCUCUGGGACAGCCCCUCUCCGAGGUGUGGAUCUGCCUGGGCAGGACCCUGGUACUCUCAGGCCUUGCACUCUCAGUGAUGCCACACUCACAGCUGUGUCUGCUGCUGCUCCCCAGCCCAUGGCUUUCAGUUCCGUGUGCUUGAAAUGUGACUCACAGAAUGGCCACUCCCCAGCCCUGCCCGAUUACACGGCUCUGGGAUGCGCUCACCAGCCAGAUCUGAUACCGGGCACACAGCAGGAAGACAAGAGAGAAGGGCACUUCCAAGAGGCACUUCUGCUUCAGGACAGUGCUGCUAGAAGGCAUUUUCCCUCCUACACCUGUGCAGGUCCUUCAUCCUUCUCCUGGCCUACCUGCAGGGGUUUGGUUGGAAGUGUAUUCUGUGCAGUGGCAGUAGAGAGCUUCAAGAGACCUGCCCUCAGCAAAUAUGCUGGCUGUGUUAUUCAUUGAGCUGUAGCUUAGAUCACCCUGGUAACACAGCUCUGCCAUCAUAAGGCAGCUGGGAGCACUUUGGUAAUUCUGUAAUCACAAAUGUCAGACUAGGUCAGGAGUCUCCAAACAGUUUGGAUCACUGGAGUGUAGACAACACUGAAAACUUAUUGCGCCCUAUUACUAAAAUUAUACCUAAUACUAUGUUUUCAUAUGAUUCUAUAGAGUCCAUAUCAUGGCUCAUGGGGCACAGUAAGGAAACCACAGGCCAAAAUACUUCAACUGUAACUAACUUAAGGUACCAUUAAAGAGACUCUGUCUAAGUCUCCUCACCUUUUUGUGUGUGAAUCAAUUUUCGGUGGUAGAGCACGGACAGUGAUAUAUGUUAGAUACGCAAUGCAAGAGCCAAAUGUUCAUAGGUAUUAUACACCUGCUGACUUAAAGCACCAAUUUAAAAGGACUGGGAAAUAACCUGAAAACAAGCACAGUGCUAGACCCAUUUUAAAGUGAUUAUCUUAGGUAAUUUUCUUUAUGAAAAAUGACACCAAGCUUGGGUUUCUCACACAUGACUGCAAAGCGUUAUUGGUGAAGAACUGGUACGCAGAUGUUUCUAAGGUCUCUAAAGCAGAAAUCACAAGCACAGAGUUUACUGCAAAUCUGGGACAGAAAUUCAUACUUGCUUAUUACUCUUUGGAUAUUUUUUCUCAAAAGAAUACUGAUUUAUAUAUAACUAGGGAUGUUAAUAUGGCUCUUUGUAAAUUUUUUUGCACUUGGGGGAAAAGAUAAUAAAGGGAGUGUUUGAGAAAAUACCUGUUCUGAG